RNAcentral lists this non-coding RNA (27 nucleotides) under Gallus gallus (chicken). Lineage: Eukaryota; Metazoa; Chordata; Aves; Galliformes; Phasianidae. RNAcentral also lists the same sequence under 2 other names. The record is from RNAcentral.
GUAGGUGAACUUGCGGAAGGAUCAUUA